GACGAACGCUGGCGGCGUGCCUAAUGCAUGCAAGUCGAACGCUGAAGGAGGAGCUUGCUUCUCUGGAUGAGUUGCGAACGGGUGAGUAACGCGUAGGUAACCUGCCUGGUAGCGGGGGAUAACUAUUGGAAACGAUAGCUAAUACCGCAUAAGAGUAGAUGUUGCAUGACAUUUGCUUAAAAGGUGCAAUUGCAUCACUACCAGAUGGACCUGCGUUGUAUUAGCUAGUUGGUGGGGUAACGGCUCACCAAGGCGACGAUACAUAGCCGACCUGAGAGGGUGAUCGGCCACACUGGGACUGAGACACGGCCCAGACUCCUACGGGAGGCAGCAGUAGGGAAUCUUCGGCAAUGGACGGAAGUCUGACCGAGCAACGCCGCGUGAGUGAAGAAGGUUUUCGGAUCGUAAAGCUCUGUUGUAAGAGAAGAACGAGUGUGAGAGUGGAAAGUUCACACUGUGACGGUAGCUUACCAGAAAGGGACGGCUAACUACGUG
RNAcentral lists this ribosomal RNA (495 nucleotides) under uncultured bacterium. RNAcentral's name for it is "partial 16S ribosomal RNA". It matches the Rfam family "Bacterial small subunit ribosomal RNA", at positions 28 to 507 of the family's 1533-position model. The record is from RNAcentral.